Non-coding RNA from Theobroma cacao (cacao), 2182 nucleotides. NCBI's taxonomy places the organism in Eukaryota, Viridiplantae, Streptophyta, Magnoliopsida, Malvales, Malvaceae. The record is from RefSeq and is a predicted model, not a curated record.
GAGCAAAAUGAACUAGAAACCAAAGACAAAUUUUCCCCCUACGAGAAACCAACCCAGCUCCUACAAAUUUUCCAAAAAAUUAAAGUACAAUCCAAAGACCCAACCCAAAAAAAAAAAGCAGAAACAGAAACACAAGGCUCCUCCUUGAUAAAUCAACGUACUAACCAGACAUGCCCCCGCCAGCGAAUCGGGGGGAUGUCGUGUAAUUACCAGGUAUUUUGUUUAAAUUCGUUAUUCUUGAUUUACGGUUGGCUUAAAGGCUGUUGAAGAAUCUCAGAAGGACACUAAUCGAGUAAGCUCUAAAAGAAAUUUUGCGAUUCCCAUUGAAUCCAGAUUGCAUUCUUCACUUCUGAAUGUUCUGAUCGCAUCUCUCUGUCUUGGAAACUUCAUUUGAAAUUAAUGUGUUGUGUACUUGAAUCUAGUUGUUGUUGUUGUUGGGAAAAUUGCAUGAGAAGCAAGGGCAAUAGUUGAGAAAUCAAGGCAGAAUCAGAGUGCCUUGAGGAAAGAGUAGGAAGACUUAAUGGAAGUUAUGUGCGACCGUGAUGGGAGCCUGUUGAUUAUGAGAAGAAAGGGGUGCUGCUCUUUAUAUCGAUUUUCCCUCUACUUUUCCUUUUUUUACAUUUGAAUGUUGUAGGUAGGCUGCUCUCUUAGAGAAGAAGAUGAUGGAAGUUAGGUUGGCUAAGUUAAGUAAUCCAGCUUUAGAUAACAAUGCCAAAGGGGACACAGGUGGAACAAUCAAUCAGUCAGUACAGGAGAGGGUCACAUGGCUGAAGAAAAGACAAAAAGAUUAACAAAUGAGAAGGUCAUAUUGGAACAGACGAUUUCUGGACUAGAAUGCAAGAAAGAUGAAGAGACAGGCACUCAAAAUGUAGGUGAAAAUCCUCAAGAAGAGCCUUGAGCAAGAAUGGAAACCCUUAAAGCUUUUUCAAGUCUCCGAGCUUGAAAAGGGUUACAAAAGAGUUGGCUGUUGCAGAUUUUGCUGCAGUGCAGAAUGAUUAGAGGAACCGAGGGGAAUGAAAGAGGAUAUUGAUAGAAAGAAUGAGCAAACUGCUGCUAUCUUGAAGAUGCAAGGGGAAAGGUGGAGGGUUUCUUAAGAGUGAUGCAGAUACAGAUUAAUUCUGCUGGAAAAUCAAGUUCGAGAAAAGUUCACAUUUGAGGAUAUGUUGUGUUUCCAAAAGGCAAAACUUGAUCAAAGAAUGGGAGCUGAUGUAUUUAUGUGCAUCCUCCAUGCCUCCUAUCAAAGUCAUAGGUGGAUAUUUAUCUGAGUAUGUUCACAAUGUAGCGCACGGUGCAAGCACCGACUCUGAGGUCCAAACUCUUGCACUAAAUACGUUCAAUGCUUUGAAGCAUUCUGUCAAAGCUGGCCUCUGUAUUACAAUACCAGCACGUCAGGAGAUUGAAAGCUAACAACUAUAGUGUUUUACUUGGAUGAAAUUUUUGGAGAAAUAAUUCAGAAAACAUGGCAACGACUGUGCCUGAUGCUGUAGAGGAGAUUCAGGGUAUAAUUAGGCUUUCAACUUAUUCGAGCUUCAGCCUGUUUGAAUGACGUAAAGUUGUUACAGGUUCCAAGUCUCCUGAUCCAGGGAAUGAGGAAUACAUUGGGUUAGAUGAUAAUAAAUAUAUUGCCGAUUUGCUGGCGGAAUUCAAGGCAGCUAAAGGGGAAAUAUUACACUGUAAACUCAUAUUUACAAAGAAGCCAUUUCAGGAGUCAAAUGAAGUGGUAACGGACCCAAUGUUUGUACAGCUGUCCUAUUUUCAGGUAUGUGAUCUGGUUUGAAUCAGUGUACAACAGCUUUAACAUGAUUGAUAUAUUUCUAAACUGAUACUUUAUACCGCUACGACAUGUUUAUAUUUUGGGCAAUUAUCCUAAUGGAAGGGAUGAUGCUGCACAUUGUCUGCUUUGCAGCUCUUGGUUGAGAUCGGAUUCGUUGGUAGCCCUGAAUUGUGCACAUAAGUUCUCUUAUCCAGACUUCCUUUUGUCUAGCUAUUUGAACUUCCAAUACAUGUAUCGAUACUGUUUUAUUUCCUACUGUUUUUGGUGUCAUAAGCAUUACUGAAUUGUUCUUUCGCUUUGGGGAUUUGAGUUUUAAGAAAAUUUGCUGAGUAAGGUAAUAUCAUUUCAGUCACUAGAAUACUUUAUGAUGCCUCUAUCUAUUAAACAUUUACUCGCAAAAUUAAUUUU